CCAGUCGUCGGUCGGUCGGUCGGUAGCAGAAGGGAGAAAAGCCUAAAGGGUGGGAGUGAUCGAUUGCUGAUUGAGGCCUUGUCGAUGAGGGUUUCAAGACUGGAGGAAAAGCUUGCUUCCCACCGCAGUCGUCGCUCGGUAGCAGAAGAGAGAAAAGCCUAAAUGAUGCGAGUAAUCGAUUGCCGAUUGAGGCCUUGUCGAUGGGGGUUUCAAGACCGGAGGAAAAGCUUGCUACCCACCCCAGUCGUCGGU
Strongylocentrotus purpuratus (purple sea urchin) is the source of this 252-nucleotide long non-coding RNA. RefSeq lists it as uncharacterized. The transcript is spliced from 3 exons. The record is from RefSeq and is a predicted model, not a curated record. Lineage: Eukaryota; Metazoa; Echinodermata; Echinoidea; Camarodonta; Strongylocentrotidae.